GAUGAACGCUGGCGGCGUGCUUAACACAUGCAAGUCGAACGGUGAAGGCGGAGCUUGCUCUGCUGGAUCAGUGGCGAACGGGUGAGUAACACGUGAGCAAUCUGCCCCUGACUCUGGGAUAAGCGCUGGAAACGGCGUCUAAUACUGGAUACGAGCUGCGAAGGCAUCUUCAGCAGCUGGAAAGAAUUUCGGUCAGGGAUGAGCUCGCGGCCUAUCAGCUUGUUGGUGAGGUAAUGGCUCACCAAGGCGUCGACGGGUAGCCGGCCUGAGAGGGUGACCGGCCACACUGGGACUGAGACACGGCCCAGACUCCUACGGGAGGCAACAGUGGGGAAUAUUGCACAAUGGGCGAAAGCCUGAUGCAGCAACGCCGCGUGAGGGACGACGGCCUUCGGGUUGUAAACCUCUUUUAGCAGGGAAGAAGCGAAAGUGACGGUACCUGCAGAAAAAGCGCCGGCUAACUACGU
Molecule: ribosomal RNA, 467 nt
Filed under: uncultured bacterium
Lineage: Bacteria
Description: partial 16S ribosomal RNA
Rfam family: Bacterial small subunit ribosomal RNA
Source: RNAcentral